CCUACGGGGGGCAGCAGUGAGGAAUAUUGGUCAAUGGACGAGAGUCUGAACCAGCCAAGUAGCGUGAAGGAUGACUGCCCUAUGGGUUGUAAACUUCUUUUAUAAAGGAGUAAAACGAGGCACGUGUGCCGUUUUGCGUGUACUUGAUGAAUAAGGAUCGGCUAACUCCGUGCCAGCAGCCGCGGUAAUACGGAGGAUCCGAGCGUUAUCCGGAUUUAUUGUGUUUAAAGGGUGCGUAGGCGGGACGCAAAGUCAGCGGUAAAACUGAGGUGCUCAACGCCGUCGAGCCGUUGAAACUGGGUGUCUUGAGUGGGCGAGAAGUAUGUGGAAUGCGUGGUGUAGCGGUGAAAUGCAUAGAUAUCACGCAGAACUCCGAUUGCGAAGGCAGCAUACCGGCGCCCUACUGACGCUGAGGCACGAAAGCGUGGGUAUCGAACAGGAUUAGAUACCCGGGUAGUC
This 459-nucleotide ribosomal RNA is filed under the name uncultured bacterium. RNAcentral describes it as "partial 16S ribosomal RNA". It matches the Rfam family "Bacterial small subunit ribosomal RNA", at positions 338 to 795 of the family's 1533-position model. The record is from RNAcentral.